This 460-nucleotide ribosomal RNA is filed under the name uncultured bacterium. RNAcentral describes it as "partial 16S ribosomal RNA". It matches the Rfam family "Bacterial small subunit ribosomal RNA", at positions 338 to 795 of the family's 1533-position model. The record is from RNAcentral.
CCUACGGGUGGCAGCAGUGAGGAAUAUUGGUCAAUGGACGAGAGUCUGAACCAGCCAAGUAGCGUGAAGGAUGACUACCCUAUGGGUUGUAAACUUCUUUUAUAUGGGAAUAAAACGUUCCACGUGUGGGAUUUUGUAUGUACCAUAUGAAUAAGGAUCGGCUAACUCCGUGCCAGCAGCCGCGGUAAUACGGGGGAUCCGAGCGUUAUCCGGAUUUAUUGGGUUUAAAGGGAGCGUAGGUGGAUUGUUAAGUCAGUUGUGAAAGUUUGCGGCUCAACCGUAAAAUUGCAGUUGAAACUGGCAGUCUUGAGUACAGUAGAGGUGGGCGGAAUUCGUGGUGUAGCGGUGAAAUGCUUAGAUAUCACGAAGAACUCCGAUUGCGAAGGCAGUUCACUGGACUGCAACUGACACUGAGGCUCGAAAGUGUGGGUAUCAAACAGGAUUAGAUACCCCGGUAGUC